CGGGGCGUGGCGCAGCCCGGUAGCGCACCUGCUUUGGGAGCAGGGGGUCGCCGGUUCAAAUCCGGCCGCCCCGACCA
This 77-nucleotide transfer RNA is filed under the name Candidatus Aegiribacteria sp. MLS_C. Its description in RNAcentral is "Candidatus Aegiribacteria bacterium MLS_C tRNA-Pro". It matches the Rfam family "tRNA". From Rfam's summary of the family: Transfer RNA (tRNA) molecules are approximately 80 nucleotides in length. The record is from RNAcentral. Lineage: Bacteria; Pseudomonadati. RNAcentral also lists the same sequence under 2 other names.